Non-coding RNA from Podarcis lilfordi (Lilford's wall lizard), 75 nucleotides. The record is from the annotation of a GenBank genome assembly. Lineage: Eukaryota; Metazoa; Chordata; Lepidosauria; Squamata; Lacertidae.
UUCUCAGGUAGCUCAGUUGGUUAGGGCAUGGUGGUGAUAACGCCAAGUUCGCAGGUUUGAUUCCCAUAUGGGACA